AUUACUUUGGCAGAAAAAUGCCAUAGAUUUAGAAUCUAUUCAUGCAAGAAGGUCUUGCAGGUAAUA
RNAcentral lists this transfer RNA (66 nucleotides) under Macromia manchurica. Its description in RNAcentral is "tRNA-Leu". Lineage: Eukaryota; Metazoa; Arthropoda; Insecta; Odonata; Macromiidae. The record is from RNAcentral.